This is a non-coding RNA of Pelobates cultripes (western spadefoot toad), 382 nucleotides long. The record is from the annotation of a GenBank genome assembly. NCBI's taxonomy places the organism in Eukaryota, Metazoa, Chordata, Amphibia, Anura, Pelobatidae.
AGGAAAAUGUGGAGUCUAAAGAGGCAGGGGUGGGUGUUAAUCAGGAAGAGGAGUGGCCUUAAAAGGAAGCGGUGGGGCAAAUUUAGGUUACAGGGUGCCCAGGUUUAGUCAUACCAAAAUACACCAUUGAACCUGUUUGCUACUACAGUUUGACAUAAAACAUUUACAGCAGCAGGCAAGUUAAGCUGAGCAGUAGUUGGUCAAGGGACAGUAGAGUCUGAUCCAAUAUGGCUGAGAACAAGAUUUUCAAAAAAAAAAAUAAUCAAAAAACUAAUAUACCUCAUUUAGAAAAUAUUAUAAGUUUCAUUAAGUGUAAAAAUUAAAAUGUCAGUUGUCUUUUCAGUAUAGCAUCUUUUUUCUGUUUUAUAUACUAAGAUAUAAA